GGGUUGUGAGGUUAAGCGACUAAGCGUACACGGUGGAUGCCCUGGCAGUCAGAGGCGAUGAAGGACGUGCUAAUCUGCGAUAAGCGUCGGUAAGGUGAUAUGAACCGUUAUAACCGGCGAUUUCCGAAUGGGGAAACCCAGUGUGUUUCGACACACUAUCAUUAACUGAAUCCAUAGGUUAAUGAGGCGAACCGGGGGAACUGAAACAUCUAAGUACCCCGAGGAAAAGAAAUCAACCGAGAUUCCCCCAGUAGCGGCGAGCGAACGGGGAGGAGCCCAGAGCCUGAAUCAGUGUGUGUGUUAGUGGAAGCGUCUGGAAAGGCGUGCGAUACAGGGUGACAGCCCCGUACACAAAAAUGCACAUAUUGUGAGCUCGAUGAGUAGGGCGGGACACGUGGUAUCCUGUCUGAAUAUGGGGGGACCAUCCUCCAAGGCUAAAUACUCCUGACUGACCGAUAGUGAACCAGUACCGUGAGGGAAAGGCGAAAAGAACCCCGGCGAGGGGAGUGAAAAAGAACCUGAAACCGUGUACGUACAAGCAGUGGGAGCCUCUUAAUGGGGUGACUGCGUACCUUUUGUAUAAUGGGUCAGCGACUUAUAUUCUGUAGCAAGGUUAACCGAAUAGGGGAGCCGAAGGGAAACCGAGUCUUAACUGGGCGUUAAGUUGCAGGGUAUAGACCCGAAACCCGGUGAUCUAGCCAUGGGCAGGUUGAAGGUUGGGUAACACUAACUGGAGGACCGAACCGACUAAUGUUGAAAAAUUAGCGGAUGACUUGUGGCUGGGGGUGAAAGGCCAAUCAAACCGGGAGAUAGCUGGUUCUCCCCGAAAGCUAUUUAGGUAGCGCCUCGUGAAUUCAUCUCCGGGGGUAGAGCACUGUUUCGGCAAGGGGGUCAUCCCGACUUACCAACCCGAUGCAAACUGCGAAUACCGGAGAAUGUUAUCACGGGAGACACACGGCGGGUGCUAACGUCCGUCGUGAAGAGGGAAACAACCCAGACCGCCAGCUAAGGUCCCAAAGUCAUGGUUAAGUGGGAAACGAUGUGGGAAGGCCCAGACAGCCAGGAUGUUGGCUUAGAAGCAGCCAUCAUUUAAAGAAAGCGUAAUAGCUCACUGGUCGAGUCGGCCUGCGCGGAAGAUGUAACGGGGCUAAACCAUG
This 1157-nucleotide ribosomal RNA is filed under the name Escherichia coli. RNAcentral's name for it is "partial 23S ribosomal RNA". It matches the Rfam family "Bacterial large subunit ribosomal RNA", at positions 1 to 1191 of the family's 2925-position model. The record is from RNAcentral. Lineage: Bacteria; Pseudomonadati; Pseudomonadota; Gammaproteobacteria; Enterobacterales; Enterobacteriaceae.